Hippopotamus amphibius kiboko is the source of this 936-nucleotide long non-coding RNA. RefSeq lists it as uncharacterized. The transcript is spliced from 2 exons. The record is from RefSeq and is a predicted model, not a curated record. Lineage: Eukaryota; Metazoa; Chordata; Mammalia; Artiodactyla; Hippopotamidae.
UGAGGGCAGACUCCAGGCGCCCUCAGAGACCAGCCAGCAUCCUAGAGAAGAACUAAGGCCAGCAGAGAGGAGCACAACCAAGGAAAGGACAGACUCUCCUACCCCAGCUCCAAGGAGGAACAAGUAUUAACCAAAGCCAGCCGUCUUCUCUGCCCAGAGCAGAGAGCAACCAGGGUGGGUCUGGGCACUGACGGGAAAGGGGACAGACUGGUUCCUCCCUGCCCCUCGCCCCAUAAACUACACAGCCACGGGAAACUCCUGGAGCCACAGAGAGAAUCUGACCACAGCAGAGGAGGCACUUAGCCAAAAGUCAGAGCAGAGAUGGAGACCUCCUGAGGAGAGACAGACCUAAGGGGUCCCUGGGGGUCAUCUCAUCUAGCCCCCUGCCAGCAGGCCAGGCCAUCUCUCUGGGCCUCAGCAAGAGCUGUGCGGCAUCCCCUUGCGCUGGGCAAUGAGACAAGCAGGCCUGAGCAGGGAAGUCCCCAGGCUCCAGGAAGCAGGGCCCUGCCCCCGAGAGGGUACUACUCAGAUGGAACCAGAGGAAGCUGCUUCGCGCCUGCCUGCCCCCGUCCCCUGCCCCCUGCACGGGGAGGGCUCUCCCUGCCUCCUCCGCAGCCUCUGGUCUGGCCAGAAUGGGACAUCAGGAACCCUUGCACUUGCCGAGGGCACACAUCCGUUGCCCAGAACCACUCAAGCCAGUCUUCACCAUGGAACACCGGGGAAUCCUUGGGGCCCCCUUUUCCUCCCAGCAUCCAAUAGUAAGUUGGGCAGUGGAGGAGCCAGACACAGAAGCAAGAAAGCAAGAAACUGGAUUUUUAAUUUUCUCUUUUUAAUAAAAAGGCACCUAUAAAACAGGUCAAUACAGUACAGGCAGCACAGAGACCCCCGAACAAGCCUAAAAAUUGUUUCAAAAUAAAAACCAAGAAGAUGUCUUCA